Molecule: ribosomal RNA, 440 nt
Filed under: uncultured bacterium
Lineage: Bacteria
Description: partial 16S ribosomal RNA
Rfam family: Bacterial small subunit ribosomal RNA
Source: RNAcentral
CCUACGGGGAGCAGCAGUGGGGAAUAUUGCACAAUGGGGGAAACCCUGAUGCAGCGACGCCGCGUGAGUGAAGAAGUAUUUCGGUACGUAAAGCUCUAUCAGCAGGGAAGAAAAUGACGGUACCUGACUAAGAAGCCCCGGCUAACUACGUGCCAGCAGCCGCGGUAAUACGUAGGGGGCAAGCGUUAUCCGGAUUUACUGGGUGUAAAGGGAGCGUAGACGGCAGCGCAAGUCUGGAGUGAAAUCCCAUGGCUUAACCAUGGAACUGCUUUGGAAACUGUGCAGCUAGAGUGCAGGAGAGGUAAGCGGAAUUCCUAGGGUAGCGGUGAAAUGCGUAGAUAUUAGGAGGAACACCAGUGGCGAAGGCGGCUUACUGGACUGUAACUGACGUUGAGGCUCGAAAGCGUGGGGAGCAAACAGGAUUAGAUACCCUGGUAGUC